RNAcentral lists this ribosomal RNA (301 nucleotides) under uncultured bacterium. RNAcentral describes it as "partial 16S ribosomal RNA". It matches the Rfam family "Bacterial small subunit ribosomal RNA", at positions 509 to 807 of the family's 1533-position model. The record is from RNAcentral.
CAGUCGCCGCGGUAAUACGUAGGUGGCAAGCGUUGUCCGGAAUUACUGGGUGUAAAGGGAGCGUAGACGGUUAAACAAGUCUGAAGUGAAAUGCCGGGGCUCAACCCCGGAGCUGCUUUGGGAACUGUAGAACUGGAGUGUCGGAGGGGUAAGCGGAAUUCCCAGUGUAGCGGUGAAAUGCGUAGAUAUUGGGAGGAACACCGGCGGCGAAGGCGGCUUACUGGACGACAACUGACGUUGAGGCUCGAAGGCGUGGGUAGCAAACAGGAUUAGAUACCCCAGUAGUCCCUGUCUCUUAUAC